AGAACGAACGCUGGCGGCAUGCCUAAUACAUGCAAGUCGAACGAACACUUCGGUGUUAGUGGCGCACGGGUGCGUAACGCGUGGGAAUCUGCCCGUUGGGUUCGGGAUAACAGUUGGAAACGACUGCUAAUACCGGAUGAUAUCGAAAGAUCAAAGAUUUAUCGCCCAGGGAUGAGCCCG
Molecule: ribosomal RNA, 180 nt
Filed under: uncultured soil bacterium
Lineage: Bacteria
Description: partial 16S ribosomal RNA
Rfam family: Bacterial small subunit ribosomal RNA
Source: RNAcentral